Molecule: non-coding RNA, 276 nt
Organism: Petromyzon marinus (sea lamprey)
Lineage: Eukaryota; Metazoa; Chordata; Hyperoartia; Petromyzontiformes; Petromyzontidae
Source: RefSeq, a predicted model, not a curated record
CAUCACCCACAGCAAGAAAAAAUGGUGAAGUAGGCGAGAGAGCUGCCGUGGCAAGAGGACUUUCCUGUUUUGAUGCCGAGUUUGGUCACGUGACCAGGAAGUUGGAAUUUAAGAUUCCCUCUCAACCACGCGGGUGUCAGCCAUUACACAGAGUACAAAAUGGAGGCACAAAUAACGUCUCGGUGACCACAGGUGUAUCUGUUCAUUGUGGGACUUUAAGAAGCAUUGUCUUUUUACCUCGUUCAAUUCAUUCAAUACGGUUGGAGUCGGAUGUUC